This 26870-nucleotide long non-coding RNA is filed under the name Capsicum annuum. Its description in RNAcentral is "long non-coding RNA (CANN_LNC009682)". The record is from RNAcentral. Lineage: Eukaryota; Viridiplantae; Streptophyta; Magnoliopsida; Solanales; Solanaceae.
GCUCCUCUUCUCCCGGACAUCAGAUGACACAUUGAUUAAGAAAAAUAAUUAAUAACAUUGUUUCCAACAUAAUUUAAUUCAUGAAAAAUAAACUUCAACCACAAAUAAAAAUAUGAAAAAACAACAGUUUUAUUGAUAAACAAUGGGGGUACAAAUCUGUUCCUCCCUUGAUUCUUCUCUCUUGAUUUUCUUCGUAAUUCGAGAACCGUCAGUAGCAUAUUUCUCGAAUGUAUGAAGAUUUGGAUAUGAAUUUCUCCGUAAUUCGAGGGCCGUUAGUGGCGUAUUUCUCGAACGUAGGAACAUUUGAAUUUGAUCUCCAUGAAAGGAGAGUUUGUCUUCUUGAUGUAUUUGAUUAUCAAGAAAAGAGGGUUUUUGAUCUUUAUGAAUAUCCCAUGAAUUUAUUGGGACUUUUCAAAGAUCUCUUUGUGAAUAUCCCGUGAAUUUGUGGGAUACUGGAGAUGCCUUCCUUGAUUCUUCUCUCUUGAUUCUCUCCGUAAUUUGAGGGCCGUUAGUGACUUAUUCUCGAACAUAGGAUGAUCUCUUUAUGAAUAUCUAUGAUUUUGUGCGAUAUUGAAGAUCCCGAUCUUACGAAUGCCCAUCCGCUUAUGGGAUAUUCAGGAUGCUUGUUUCAGCGAACAUGUUAUCCUUUAAAUAGGCGAGAUUUAGGGUAAAGUAGCCUUCUAGAACUCUAACAGAAUUUGAAUUCUUGUUAAAGAGUCCACAAAUUUUAGAUGUCUACAAACAUGACUAGUUUACCAUAGUAUCCCUAUUAAAUGAUGUUUACAUUUUAAUUUGAAGAAAAAGAAAUUAAUGCAAAGGGUAAAACAUGAAAAAAAAAAAUUCUCUUUUUGAUUAAUGAAAAAAGACAAGUAAAAUAAGAAAUUAAAUUAGGAAAUUUGAGACAAAUAAUUUGAGACGAGGGAGUAUUUUUUGAAAAAAAAAUUAGAAUUAGCCAAUAUAGAGCCUUAAUUGUAACUUUUAUAGCAACAAUUUCAUAAUUACGAAAAAUAGUAAAUUAUAUUUUGUAUUUAAGUAAACUGUUGCUAUACAAAUACAUAUACAACAAAAUUUAUUGUCCUUGUUUUACUCAAAUUAGUUGAGUUAAGUAAGGAUAAUUAUUCCAUUUAAUUAAAUUCUCAUAAAUUACUCUUAUUUAAAUUAGUAGAUUCCUUUUUCAAAUCAAACUCAAAUAUGAAUCAUUAUUUUCAUGAUCUUCAAAAUUUCAAAAUAUGAUUCUCUUAUAUCUCUAACUAUUUAUUCUUAUUAGUUUUUUCAUUUUUUAUUUUAAUUUCUUUUUUUUUUAUUUUUUUCUUUCCACUUUAUUUUCUCUCUUCUACUUCUUUUCUUUUCUUUUCUUUUCUUUUUUUUUCCUUUUCUUAUAUUUUUUUUCGUUUUCUUCUUCUUCUUCUUUUAAUUUUUUUUUCGUUUUGUUUUUACACUUCUAUUUCUCUUUCUUCUUCUUUUUUACUUUUUCACUUCUUUUUUUUGAAUUUUUAUUUUUCAUUUUUGUUUUUUUCUAUUUUUUUGAUUUUUUUUUAUUUUUUUUUACUCUUCUAUCCCUAUCUCUUAUUUUUAAAAGACAAAUAUCUAUAUCAUAGAUACAUAUUAAAAUAAUAUACAAAAUAAACAGACAUACAGAUCUGCAUGUGUAUUUACGGUAAAAACAUACAUAUACAUCUGCAUAUGUAUUUACAGAAAUACAUAUCUGACUCACAUGUAUAUAUAAACAUAUAAGACACGAAAUCUCUAUAACAAAAAUGACAAUUAUAUACAUAUACAUAUAGGUAGUAAAAAAAUACAUAUACAUAAUUUAAAACAGUAAAAGAAAAUAAAUAAGUAUAUAUAUUACCCUUUAAAAUGACAUAAUAUGUACAGUUCAAAGACAAAUUCAACACCAUAUAAAAUACAUAUAGCUCUGCAUAUGUAUUUACAGAAUACAUACCUGAUCCAUAUGCAUAUUCUUUUUUUAUAUGAGUCACCUUUUAUUUCGCAAAUUCAUAGAAAGAUAUAUAGUAUAGUUAUAUUUGUUACUAUUUAAUAUGAAUAUGAUAUGUAUUUCGUAAAUACAUAUGUAUGUUUUGUACUGUAAAUACAUAUUCAAAUUUGUAUGGCUAUGUAUUUUGUAUGUUUUUUGAACAUGUGUAUGUGAUAGACAUAUUUGUCUUUUCAAAAAUAAAAGUUAGAGAUAGAAGAGUAAAAAAAUGAAAAAAAAAUGAAAAAAAGAAAAUUGAAAAGGAAGAAAGAGAAAUAAAGGGGAAAAAAUAGAAAAAAAAAAGAACAAAACGAAAUAAAAAAAGACAAAAAAGAUAUGAGAAAGGUAAAAAAGAAAACGAAAAAGGGAAAAGGGGAAAAGGAGAAAUAAAAGAGAGAAAAUAAAGUAGAAAUAAAAAAUGAAAAAGAAAAAGAAAAUAAAAAUAAAAAUAAAAAAAUAAAAUAAUAAAAAUAAGAUGGAAAAAACUAACAAGAAAAAAAGGUAGAGAUAUAAGAGAGUGAAAGACAGUAAUGAUGUUUUACUUUGAAAACUUGAACAUCAUGGAGAUAAUUAUCUUCAAAUAUGAAAAAAAAAAAAAAAAAAAAGAAAAAAAGAUAUGAGAAAGGAAGAAAAAGAAGAGAAUAGAAGAGAGAAAAUAAAGUGAAAAUAAAAAAUAAAAUAAAAAAAUAAGAUAGAAAAAAAGGGUAAAAGAUACGGCUAUAUUUGGGAGGGGUGAAAUGCUGGAGUAAAAAUAGGAAAAUGUAAAGUAGUGAGAGUAAAACAUGCACUUACCUAGUUAAUGAGUAAAAUAAUGUUACUCUUGAUAUAAAUUGUAAUUUUAUAAAAGUAUUGUUAUUUAUUAUAAUUAUAAUUUUAAAUAUGCUACUUUGUGUAAUUUUUUCUAUUUUUUAUGUACAUCUAUUGAAUUUGAAUACUCUAAACACUACAUGUUGGCUCAAUGGGACUCUAAGUUGAAGGCUCAAGCACUGUAUAUUUGCUUUUUGAGCCCUUUUAAUAAAAUUUUGUAUGUCACUAAUUGCGGGUAUCUUUAUUCAACUACUGCUUUUAGGAGACAUUAACGUUUUCACUUUUUAAUGUUAUUGUUCAAUGCUUCUUUGUUUUGUUUUUCUAAAAUAUGGAAACAUAAAAGUAUAUCAUAUUUGACGGUUUUACAAUUAAAUAAAUGGAUAUUUUAUUCGAUAUGAAACUAUAAUAAAAUAGGGAUCGUUUGGUUGGGGAAUAAGUUACUCUGGCAUAAUUAAUUUCGAGAUUAGCUAUUUCGAAAUUAGUUAUCUCAGCAUAUAUAUAAGAUAACUUAUUCCAACACUAAAGCAUAAAUGGUGGGAUAAAUAAUUUCUUGGCUAAUUGAUACCUCAAACCAAACAUAAGAUAAAAUAAUUCUAUAAUUUAUUCAAAGACUAUUAUAACUUAUACCUCACAUCAAACUACCCUUAGUGUUCAAAUGCCAUUAAAUAAUCAUAUUACUUUAAACAGCUAAUAAAAAAUGUAACUUGUAUUUUCUCCCAAUUUAAUGUAAGUAAUAACAAAUAUAGUUUAUUUUCAUGAUUGUGUAUUUUUAUAAUAUUUGUAUUAUUAACUUGGAAUACACUACAACGCAUGUGUCCAAAAAUUAAUAAUAAAAAAAUAAACACGCUCCUAAUCGUGUUUCAACAAAUUGCUAGUAAUAAUUUAACAUUGAGGAGAGAAAAUAAAAUCAAUUUAUAAGGAAUAUUAAAACCAUAAAAUAGAUUAAAAGAACCUUUAUUAUUAACCAAUGAUGCAACAAUGUGAAAGAACAAAAAAAUUACAUAAAUUUUUUUCAUUACACAAGUGAUGUCAAGUGCCAUGAUCUCAGAUGCAUGAUCAUUUAUUAUGCAUUCAAAGAAGUAAAACUAUGAACUUAAUUAAUCAAUUAAUUAACAUGUGUGUAUUGAAUUUUUUAUAAUGAUCUUCUCUUUCACCAUAACUUCAUUCACCUUUGUUAUUCCUUUAAGUAAGUGAAGGAAUGCUUUGUUCAUUCCUAAAGAAGUUUGAAGGAUUCACCUUAGUCUUCACAUAAACCAAUCUAUCAAAAUUAUUAUUGAAAUACUUAAUCCCCCAAACCUUAGCUUGCACAAAGCUUGUAUAUCCCUUCAUGUUGUUCAUUCCAAUAUCAAGAUCCCAAUAGUUGAUAUAAGCAGCUCUUGGGAACUUUGAAACAAAAGGUGUCAUGUAAGAAUAAUGCCUUCUUAUCCAAUUUAUAUGCCUCUCAGCUACUUCAUCUUCUCCUUCAUCCCAAUACACCAUAUGUUGGAUAUUGUAUAAAUUUCCAGCUCUAUGGGGGAACGGGAUAGCGGAUGGUGAAAUCUCAUCCAUCCUCCCACCAUAUGGACUAAACAUCACUUGUGCUUCAUCUUCAAAGAACAAUCUCCAUAUUCCUUCGAGACCACCCUCUGGAAUUGGCUGAAGUACGAAGUCUGAUUUUGCCUUAAAGUAACGUGUUGAGGGUUGAAUCCUACUCAGCAAGACAUCAUGAGAUUCACCUCUAGGAAACCCUGCAAAGUAUAAUGUGGACUCUAUCCAACUCAUCUCAAUGCAAUCUUCUCUUCUCAACCCUAAUUCAGGAAAAUUUUCUUGCAUGAUGGGAAGUAAUCGAUCCAUUUCACCAAGGAAAAUGGAGUUGAAUGAAGCUACAAUUUGUUUGUCACCUGGAUCACUUGUGUUCAAUCUACUAAUCAAGAUGCUAAUGAACAAAUCUUCAUGGAAUCUCGGACCAACAAAUUGCCACUUAUGAACAAGCUUAGUGGCAUUUUGUUUCAAUGUCUUGUCAAGUGUGAAAACAGUUACUUUCUCAGGAACAUCUACCAAUUUUACCUUCCAUGCAAGGACAAGUCCAAAGCUAUUACCACCACCUCCUCUAAUUGCCCAAAAUAGAUCUUCCCCCAUAGAAUUUCUAUCAAGAAUUCUUCCAUUGGUGUCGAUUAAACGUGCAUCAACAAUGUUAUCUGCAGCUAGGCCAUAUUUUCUCAACAUAACACCAUAACCACCUCCACUAAAAUGUCCCCCAACACCAACCGUUGGACUAACACCAGCAGGGAAUCCUAGGGUUUUGCUUUUCUGUGCAAUUGUAUUAUAGAGUUCACCAUUAGUUGAUCCAGUUCCAAUCCAUGCACUCGUUUCAUUGACAUUAACAUUGAUUGUUCUAAGGUUGAUAAGGUCAACCAUAAUGAAUGGAACCUCGGAGACAUAAGAAAGGCCUUCAUAGUCAUGUCCUCCACCACGAAUCCUAACGUGCAUCCCAGUUUUUUUAGCACAAAGAAUGACUUGUUGGACAUUGGGUUCACUUACUGGGGUGACAAUCACAAGAGGUUUAGGAGUUUUAGUUGUAUUAAACCUUGGAUUUUUUAUGGAGAAUUGGAGGAUUGAUGAAAAAGAAGAGUUAUUUGGGGUGUAAAGGUUGGAAAAUGUUUAGUUACUAUGAGAUAGACACUGAAUGAAUUCUUCAUGAUUAUCAGCUAGUGCUGCCCAUGAAGCUGUUGAGAAAACAAGAAGUACCAAAAGAAAGGAAAACCAAGAAUUCUUCAUAUUGCUUGAGAUUUUGUUUUGUUUGUGUUAUGGAAAUGAAACUGGAAAACCCAUUCUAUUUAUAAUAUGUUAGGAGCUAAUUGUUUGGUUGAACUUUCUAUAAUCAACCAUAUGCGUGUAAAAUGUUUAUACUUGGUUGUUGACAUGAGGUUAAGCCAGAUCAUGAUAUCAUGAGAACAAGUCACUUUGCAUUUUUACAAUAAAUAAUAUUUUAAAUUUAAAUUGUGGUUAAAAUCAACUAACGUUGAGUUCUAUUGCAUGAAAACAACUAAGAUUGACACAUAAUCAGAAACUUACUUAAAACUAUGGCACUUUAAUUUACUAAAAAAUCACAUUUUUUCUCAUAUCUUGGUGAAAAUCAACAGUCCUAUUAAUUGGAUGAAAAUCAUAAUAAUAAUAAUAUUAUUAUUAUUAUUAUUAUUAUUAUUAUUAUUAUUAUUAUUAUUAUUAUUAUUAUUAUUAUUAUAACAAUAACAACAAGAAGAAGAACGCAGCAACAGCAACAGUAGUAAUAUUAUUAAUAAUAGUAUUCUAUAUUGAAUAAUGUACUCCUAAUCUGAAAGCUUUCUAAACCGACUUUUCUUGAUUGUGUGAAAAAUAAUAAAAUAUGUCACUAAACUAACAAUUUUUGCCUACUAAUAAGAAAAAAAAAUGAAAAAAAUGUAUAUCGCAUGGAAGAGAUUAUUAGUUAUUUUAUGAUCUACUGAAAAUAACCUCUUUGCUUCAUCUAAGUUAGUGGUAUGAUCUGCAUACAUUUACCCUCCUCAGAUCUCACUAUAUAAGAAUAUACUGGAUAUGUUGUUGUUGUAAAGAAAAAAAAAAAAAAAAAAACCAAAAUGGAAAAUUAAAAAAAUUUUAUUUCAUGAAGAUAAUGACCUAAUAUCUUCUUUUUUUUUCACAGGUGAUGAUGGGAUAAGAUUUUCUUCUUUCUUUAAAAAAAAGGUAACAAAAUUGUGGAACUUUCUAAUUAUCUUACUCAUAUAUGUUAUAUGCAAAGAGUAUUGUAUAGUAAGAUUUGUAUUAGAAACCAAAUGCCUAAUUGAAUAAAUAACUCAACAUUAAAAUGUAUACAUGCAAUUCAACAAUAACUUGAAUGUAUUCAUCUAUCUCAUUAUGUUUUACAGUUUCAUAAUUCAUUGUUUCACUGUCACAUCAGAUCAAUUAGACGUUUUCUUGUAAAUUGUUUAGAUUGACAAUAACAUAGUAUUAAGGGAGAAAGAUACAAAUAGUACUUUGGCUAAAUAUAUUAAUACGAAAUAACCAUUAAAUUUUAUUUCUACUUUUAGUUUUAGCCAUUUGUUGACACAUUUUAUACAGUACUGAUAUAAUUUUGAUAGACAACUUAUACAGAUAUAUAUUUUAUACAAAAAAAAUAGAAUUCAUAUAUGCAGCUUAUACAUGUACAUAUCUUAUAAAAUGAUGAUAUAAUUUUUAGGCCAAACUCAUCGGUGGCCCCCCAAACUUGGCACGAACUUUCAUUUAGGCGCUUCAAGUGGACGUUGUUCACUUUUAACACCUCAAGUAGCUACAAAGUGUGUCACUUUGACACCUUUUGCUGAAUCAGCAAAGAGAGUGUGUUGCACUCGCUGCCAGGCGCAUUUUAGGGUAUAUAACAUAUAAAUGAACCAAUUAUAAAAGGACAUUUGACAUUUUUAUAAAAAUAAUUUUUAUAUAAUUAAUUUAAAUUAAAAAAAGAAUUAAUAAUCCCACCCCACCCUUAUAUCAUCUUUCCUCCCCACCCCCAUCCAUUAGUUUUCCAUCAUUUUUUUUUUCUUAAUACAAUUGAUUUUUAAUAAUUUGGAAGAAUGCAAGUUGGUGCAGAUUGUAGACUUCUUCUUCUUAUAUGUUGGGAUUUGAUGAGACUAUCAUGGUAUUUUUGAGAAAGUAACAAAAAUGGUCCAUAUGUUGAGAAAAUGACAAAAAUGAUUUUCGUCGAUGAAAUAACGAUAUUUGUUGUUGUUGGCUUGGUGAAUUUGUGCUAUAUGUUUUGAAUUUGUUGAGAAGUGAAUUUGUUGUUGACAAAAAUUAUUGUUGAGAAGUGAAUUUGUCUUGUGCAGAAGUGCGAUUAUUGGCUUGGUUAGCGGUUGGGGGGACUGGAGAAGAUGACUUUGGGAUUUGGGGAGUGGGGAUGGAGGUGGGGGAGGGCAAAUGAAGAAGAUGACGGGAGGGGGGAGGGCUGCUAUGUAGAGAAGAUGACUUGGGGGAGGGGGGCUGGGGGGGCUGAGUGUUGAAAAAGAUGUCUUUAGAGUUUGGGGGUGGUGGGGGUUGGAUUGAUAAUUUUAUAAUUAUUUUUUAAAAUGCCACGUGUCAGUAAUUAAUUGGUUCUUUUAAUUUAAUUAUGUGUAUAUAUAUAUUAAUAAGUUGGAUAAUCAUGUAUUUUGGCCUUUUAUUUUUUUAAAAAAAAUUAAUUGUGAAUAUAAAUAAUGAUGUGACAAUUUAAAUGAGUUGACACAAAUCAAUUGGUUGUUUUGUCCAUGUUGGCAGCGAGUGCAACACACUCUCUUUGCUGAUUCAGCAAAAGUGUCAAGUGGCUACUUGAGGUAGGGGUGUCAAGUGGGCCGGCCCGACCCGGCCCGACUACCUAACCCGGUUCGGUUUGACCCGGCUCGGUAAGCCCUAGGGCUUUAGGGUUCCGGAUCCCGGACCGAUUAUUUUGUUAAAAUGGGCCCGAUUAACCCGGACCAGACCAAGCCCGAUCCAGGUCCGCCGGUUAACCGGCCCGGCCAGGCCCGGCCCGAAAAAAAAUAAAUAUAUAUAUAUNNNNNNNNNNNNNNNNNNNNNNNNNNNNNNNNNNNNNNNNNNNNNNNNNNNNNNNNNNNNNNNNNNNNNNNNNNNNNNNNNNNNNNNNNNNNNNNNNNNNNNNNNNNNNNNNNNNNNNNNNNNNNNNNNNNNNNNNNNNNNNNNNNNNNNNNNNNNNNNNNNNNNNNNNNNNNNNNNNNNNNNNNNNNNNNNNNNNNNNNNNNNNNNNNNNNNNNNNNNNNNNNNNNNNNNNNNNNNNNNNNNNNNNNNNNNNNNNNNNNNNNNNNNNNNNNNNNNNNNNNNNNNNNNNNNNNNNNNNNNNNNNNNNNNNNNNNNNNNNNNNNNNNNNNNNNNNNNNNNNNNNNNNNNNNNNNNNNNNNNNNNNNNNNNNNNNNNNNNNNNNNNNNNNNNNNNNNNNNNNNNNNNNNNNNNNNNNNNNNNNNNNNNNNNNNNNNNNNNNNNNNNNNNNNNNNNNNNNNNNNNNNNNNNNNNNNNNNNNNNNNNNNNNNNNNNNNNNNNNNNNNNNNNNNNNNNNNNNNNNNNNNNNNNNNNNNNNNNNNNNNNNNNNNNNNNNNNNNNNNNNNNNNNNNNNNNNNNNNNNNNNNNNNNNNNNNNNNNNNNNNNNNNNNNNNNNNNNNNNNNNNNNNNNNNNNNNNNNNNNNNUAUAUCUCAUUUAAAGUAUUACAUAUACAAUUAUACAUAGAAUAGAGUGUAUAUAUGUGAAUAGAUCUUCUAUAGACGUGUAUAUUUAACGUAUACAUGCGUAUAUGUUUCAUAAAUUAGUAUAUAACUAUAGAAAUAUAUAUUGUAAUGUAUAUAUAUUAUAGCAUAUUUGAUUUAAAGUAUUACAUAUACAUGGAAUAGAGUGUAUAUAUGUGAAUGGAUCUUCUAUAGACAUGUAUAUUUAACGUAUACAUUACUUUAUGUUUUAUAAAUUAGUAUAUAUAUUGUAGUAUAUACUUUUUUUAAAGUAGUACAUAUAUAUNNNNNNNNNNNNNNNNNNNNNNNNNNNNNNNNNNNNNNNNNNNNNNNNNNNNNNNNNNNNNNNNNNNNNNNNNNNNNNNNNNNNNNNNNNNNNNNNNNNNNNNNNNNNNNNNNNNNNNNNNNNNNNNNNNNNNNNNNNNNNNUUAUAUAUAUAUUGUAGUGUAUAUAUAUAUAUUAUACUAUUAUAGCAUAUGUUUUAUUUAAAGUAGUACGUAUAGUCAUAUAUAAUUAUAUAUUGAAUGGUACAUAUAUGUGUAAUUGUUUAUAUAUUUUUUUAAAAAUAUAUAUUGUAUAUUGGAGUGUAUAUAGUGUAUAUUGGAUUAUUUAUUUAUUUUUUAAACGAGUUUGACCGGUUUUUAACCGGGUUUUGGUGGGUUUGACCGGGUUGGGUUAAGUGGGCCGGGUUAGGGUGGGUUUUAAUUUUUUUACUGUUUGGCCCGGCCCGGUUAACGUCAAACCCGGCCCUUAACCGGCCCACAACCCGGUUAAAAUGGAAGGGCCGGUUCCGGGUUGGCCCGACCCGGCCCGUUUGACACCUCUAACUUGAGGUGUUAAAAGUGAACAACGUUCAAUUGAGGUGCCUAAGUGAAAGCUCGUGCCAAGUUUAGGGGGCCACCGAUGGGUUUGACCUAAUUUUUAUGCACAUCAUAUAAAAAAUGCAUAUUUUAUAUAACAAUAAUAUAAUUUCUAUACACAUUCUAUUCGUAAUAAUAAAAAAGUUGCUAUACACAUAGUAUAUACAAUUUUUAGAUAGCAACUAUAUAGUCUUUAUACAUAUUCUACACUUCACUAAUAAUCAAAUUGACAAGAAAGUUGUAGAUUCAGCGAAGAAUUUAGUACUUCUCAAUUUCUAACUGAUCAAUUUGAAUUAAUCUUUCCAUAAAUUUCCUAUUCUAUUUUUUUAUGAACUAUAUCACUACGAUAUAUAAAUUAUAUCAAUAUGAUGUAUAUAAUGUAUUUGAACUAUCUUAGUCGGAAUGACCCAAAUUAGGAAAAAUUCAUUUUGUGGAAAUAAAAUGGCUGAGUGCCCAUAUUUUGAGUCGCAUUUAAAAUGGUUAUUUUUGAUGAAAAGAUUUUCCCAAAAGGGCCAUAGGGUGUCUUUUUCCUAGUAUGAAACCCAACUAUAUAUUUGAUAGCAUGAUAAUGUUAUUUACUUUCUGAAAAUAUGUACCUUAUUUUCUUGAAAAAAAAAUGACAUUAAUUGUCUAAAUACACAAAAUAAUUAGAUACAUUAACUAAUAUACACCAAACAUUAUUGUUGUUAGUCGAACUAACUAAUACACACUUGCUCGUAACAAUGCCUAACAAAAGACACAAUGCCUAAUAAAAGACUUGGGAAAGAUACCCCCUAAAACAAAGCUAAUUACAUGAAAUUGACCCCUCCCUAACAGAUUUCUCCACAACCAAAUCAGCCAAAUGUAGUUAGCUCAAUACCCCCUUCCUAAAUUGUAGUGAAAAUAACGAAUUAAUCCUAUUAAUUGUGGUUUUUAAAUUGUGCCGCCAACUUCCCAAUUUCUUAUAUUGUGCAACCAACUUCCUUUUUUUUUUUUUCUAACUACUUUGUUUAUCUUUUUUUUUUUUUUUCAAAAGUAAAUUUAGUUGUUUCUCUUUUUAUAUCCAUUUUUGUCUUAAGCUUCUUUUGUUGUUUUGUUAGAUUAUCUUUUUUUUUUCCCUUGCUGAACUUUUGCCUUUGUAAAAAAAUAAAAAUAAAAAUAUUAAAAUUUACUAGCUUAUUUAUUAAAAUUUAAAUUAAUAAAAAUUAUAUUUUAUGAAAAAAGAACUUAAAAUACCUUAAACUAUUAAAUUUGGUACAAAAGUACCUCCGUUAAUAUGUUAGUUCUAAAAUGUCCUUGAAGUCACCUAUUGACUCUAAAUUGUCCUUAUAACUGAUAAUUUUUGAAUUUACAAAAGUAAAAAACAUAAAUCAUUAGACUACAAUAAGAAAUAACUAAGGAAAAUAUUAAAAUCUAACUUACUAGAAAAUAUAUUUUGCAAAAAAAGAACUUAAAAUACCUUAAACUAUUGAAUUUGGUACAAAAGUACCCCGUUAAUCUGUUACCUCUAAAAUAUCCUUGAAGUCACCUAUUGACUUUAAAUUACCCUUAUUUUUAUCGAUCCACUUGAAAAUAAAGUUAAUAAAUUCAGUUAUUACGUGUACCUAAUUAAUGAAUUUCAAUUCAGUAGUAAGUAAUCAGAUUAUAAAUUGAUAUUAAGGGUGUGUUUGGUAUGAUGGAAAAUAUUUUCUAUGAAAAAUAUUUUUCUAGAAAAUGUUUUCAUAGAAAAUAAGUUGGUGUUUUAAUUAUUUUCUUAUGUUUGGUUGUUGAGUAGAAAAUAUAUUUUCAAAAAAUAUUUUAUGGUGUUUGGUUGGUGAAUAGAAAAUAUUUUUUUUUCUACCUAAAUUUUAACUUUACAUGAGCGUGUGACCCUCUAAUUAAAAAUAUAAUAUAUUUUCUAAAACAUAAUAUUUACCUACACAUUUUUAAUCAUUCGAUCAGUUUGUAUGAGAUGUGACAUCAACAAUUAUACAUUUGUUUGACCAAAUUUAGAAAAUAAUGUAAUUUUUUAUCACUUAUUGAUGAAAUAAAUUUAUAAUUAUGUUUUUUUAUUUUAUUUAUUUAUUAAAAGGUAACUUCUUAAUACGAUUUAUGAAAAAAGGGAAAAAAGAGUGAGUUAGGUGGUACUUGAUUUGACAAAACGAAGUAAUAAUUUUUUAAAAAAAUUGGUAAGAAAUGUAAUAAAAAGUUAUAAUUUAUAAAUUGUAAUAAAAAGUUUUAAUUUAUAAAAGUUAUAAAGUUUUAAUUUAUAAUUUUUUUAAAAAAACUCAGUGUACUAACACAUCACUUCUUUAUGUCAAAUCAUGUUAACAUAAUAAAUUAUUACGUUUUAUAAAAACGUUUUGUAAAAAGUAAUAUAUUAUUACUACGUUUUACUAAAACUUUUUUAUUGUACACAUCCGUUAUCAAACCGUUAAAAAAAGGUAUAAAACGUGAUAAAUUAUUACGUUUAGCUUAGGUAAUUUAUUAAAUACGUGACCUAUUUUGGUCACUUUAUUCAUAUUUUGGUUUAUUUUUAUUCCAAAUUCUCAUAAGUCACAUCUCAAUAUUUUCUAGAAAAUAACUUCCCUUGGCUCACGAGGGGAAGUCAUUUCUUUCAAAUGGGAGAAAAUGAGUUCCUUUGAAAAAUAUUUUUUCAAAAUUAUAUUACAACCAAACAAGAAAAAAUAUUUUUCAUCGUACCAAACACACCCUAAGUGACAGUGAAUUUGGUAUAAAAGUAUUGGAAAUGGGUCAAUAAUUGACUUGGAAAUUAAAAACAAAUACAAUUACAAAACCACCUCACUUACUCCCCUCCCCCCCUCUCGACCCGAAAAGAAGUACUUCAAAGAAACUAAAUUUGAAGGUGAAAUGGAAAUUAAAUCCGAGGCUCAUACGAGGAGGGAAUAACAUGUUUAGAGAAAGAAUUAUCAUUAUUACAAAAGAGUAUUGCUUGUUCUUAAGUAAAUAAAUCAAGUCAAAACAAAAUAUUAUUGAGUUUAACUUCUAUCAAUAUAAAAGAAAUUAUAUUAUCAGGACAAUCGUAAGAGUAAUAAAAUAUAUCUGUCCAUGGAAAAUAAGAUCAGUAACUGGAAAACUAGCACAAUUUAAUGUCACACUAAGGUUAAAGUAUAUUGAUUGUUUAAUUUUUCUUCGACAGAGUCAAGUGUAUGUAUGUUACUGUAUGUUACAAAAAAUCUAAAUAUAAUAUACACAUUCACACACACAACUUAUAAUAGCGUUACUCCUGCAUCCCACCCGACAUAUCUGGCUUCCACUUAGCUAUUCUGUGAGCUUGUUUUUUUAUAAUGUUUGACAAGAAACCCCGUAAGCCAAUGAGUAAUUGUACCUAAAUUUUUUUCGUACCCAUAGCUUGACCUUCACCUUUUUCUACGUGUACGGAUGUUGUGUCAGUCAAUACUUUUUAGUUUUACCCAUUCUUUUAGGAAUUGAGUGGAAUUUACUUUUUAUAUCUAAGCUAUAGGAAGAAGUAACUCGUUGAUAGCUAAUUUUACACUCAUUUCGUUGUUUCUCGUUAUAUGUGCUUCACAUACAAAGUUAGUUUUUUUUUAUAUAUAAAUAAGAGGUUCGGGAACAUUCGUUUCCCUGUCUUUUGUGAUCUACAUACUAUUUACUCUUUCUUAUUGGAUCCUUCUGUUCAAUACUUCUUGAUUGACCAUCCACUAAUUCUUCUUAUGAGCAUACAAGGUUAGAGGACCAAUUUGUUACUUCAUCUGUUUAUUUUAGGAUUUUAAAUUUGUUACGAUUAUCCAGUAUUAUUCUCAUCAUUUCAAUUUGUUCAUCUUACUCUGCUUUUCAGUUUAUUAAAAAGAAUUUAUUUUUUGACAAUUACUUAAAUUUUACUUUUCAUGUAAUAGAAUUAAAAUAGAAAGAUUGAAUGACAUUUUGGUAUAUUCUAAAUAUUUAUAAUUUGAGAUCAUAAUAUUCAAAAGUCUAAUUUUUUUUUUUUUUUAAACUCUGUAUCAAGUCAAAACCAAACAAAUUAAAACGGGAAGGUAUUAGUUAGCGAGUCCAAGAGAGGGUAAAUAACUCUGUUUCCAUUUGUAUUGCUCUAUCACAAUUGUUUUUGUUCAAAACUAAGUCUUUUCUUAUGCUUGAAUCGCAAGUUAUUGACGAAAAAUUAAAAGAAAAACUUCUGUUUUCUCCUAGAUUUCAUGCCUAGACGGAGGAAGUAUAUGUACGGUAAUGUUAAUAACCAGAACGUUUGCAUAUAUUGCAGGAAAUAAUUCGAGCAGAAUGACAAGUAAUACACAGAUUUAUUCGCCAGAAGAAACUUUAACUGAUAUUUUAGCGAGGUUACCUGUGAAAUCACUUUUGCGAUUCAAACGUGUAUGUAAAAGAUGGUGUGAUCUAAUCAAAAGUGUGCGUUUUAUCAGAAAGCACUGUGAUAGCCCAGGCAAUCGUACCCGUCCAGUGGUUUGCAAGUUCGGUGUUGACUACAACCAUGAGCCUGAGCCUCUAAGGGCUUUUAAUUUCUACGUGCUCCCUGAGAAAAUAUUCGCGGGCAUUGUCCCUACUCAUCACAGGCUUUAUCGUUGCGAAGGAGUUACGGAUUUCAGAUGUAUUUAUGGUCCGGUUGAUGGCCUAUUCGUAUUAGAGAAUGGGCAUUAUUUAGACAAUGUUCGGUUUUGUUGGUGGAAUCCUGCAACUAAAGAGUGUAGGCUUAUGCCCAAGUUUAAUUUCGAGCUUGACCUGUUUUUUGAAGAUCACAGCCGGACAGCUGGGAUGGGAUUAGACCUGGUCAAUAACGACUAUAAAUUUUUAUGGAUUCGAGUAUUUUACAAUGAUGAGAAAAGAGAGGUUUAUCCUAAGACGUAUGUUGCUCUUUAUUCGUUGAACAAUGACUCUUGGAAGGUUUUAGAUGAGCCUGAUUUAGCUUAUGACUGUGAAUUAUGUGUCACUUAAUUGCACGUAUUUGAACGGACUUCAUUAUUGGAUGUCCUUUACCAGGGACAAGGACAAUGAUGAUAACAACAUAUACGGCAUUAAAACGUUUGAUUUUGCAACUGAAUUAUUCGGGGAGAUGGAGCCUCCACCUAUUCCAGGGGAUCACUGGGGGACUUUAAUGUUACGCGGUGGCUCUCUUGCAGCUAUGUCUUGUAGUGAUACCUCACAGCCUAUGACGUCCAUUUAUGAUAUAUGGGUAAGGAUCGGAGCGAAUAAUUGGAUCAAAGUUUUUUCUGUAGAUCCUCCGAUAUCAUGGCAUUUUGCUCUCGGCGUGUGGGAUUAUGAUAAGUUCAUUUACGAGCUAACCCAAACUAACAAGAUGGUUUUAUAUGACCAUAGUACUAAAAAAGUUACAAGUCUUGGAUUUGAUCAUUUUCAGCGUUUAAGCUCCAGCUUCUGUUGGCCUCUGUAUUAUAAGGAGAGCAUAGUUCCAAUAAAGAGAAAAGAACCGACUGAGUACGAUCAUGCUGAAUACUUUUUCACAAAGUAUCGAUAAUCAAACACGAGAUGUGAGCGUUCAAGGACAAAUUCAACAGCGAUCAGCCUAAUUAAAGCGGUGGAAGAAAAAAGAGGCAGAAAAUAUAUGAGAACAUAGCAAUGUAAAUAUAGUGGUUAAAUGUGCUUGUUGCUGGAUACUACUGAUUGUAUAACUCUUGGGAUAAAGAUUUUGUUCAUUCAUAAGUUUUCCCACUCCUUUUUAUGUGUGAAAUUACAUCGACCAAUUUGCUUUAGCGUUUGCAGCGAAUGGAAAGAGAAUGAAUAUAUGAAAGUGAAUUGAAUAUAAUCAAUGUAUGUCCAUAGUGAGUCUUUAAUGUGAUAAAAGGUGUAUUUGAGUUUGGGCUGCUUUUAUAAUAUGCCAGUAUACAUUAGAAGCAUAAUACAUCUUCAUAUGUUAUAUUCCUUCAGCAGUAUAAAUAGAGUGGGAAUGAAUUAGCGCAUAUAUAUUUGGUGGGUGGGGGUGGCGGUGGGGGUGGGGCGAUUCAAUAUUGGGAACUUUGUGGUGGAGCUAGAAUAAAGUUUAUGGGUUCGAUUGAACUCAAUAACUUUGGUUCAAAUCCUAUUUUGUCUUAAGAAAUUCACUGAAUAUGUAUAACUUCUUAAUUUAGACUAAAUAACUUAAAAGACCUAGAGUCUCGAGCACAUAAGCUUCAAGUGAGCAGCUAAACAAUAAUAUGAUAAAACUAACGUCAAAGUUCGUAAUAGCCGAUUCUUUUAGGCACUAAUUGUAGUAAUUUAAAGAGUUUAAAUUAUAUGCACUGCCAGUGUAUAAAUUUUGUACAUCAUCAGGUAGUAGUGACCUGCUAUAGCAAGUUAUUACUUUUUUACUAAAGUAAAAUUUCUUCCUUUUCAAAAUUACUAACUCUACCUUUUCUUACUUCUUCCCUUGUCGCCCCCGCCUUGCCCCAUUCCUCUCUCUCACCCUCCAUCUUCCUCAUUCUCUCAAAUUAUAAUGAUUUAAUCAUCCAUUUAUUUUUUUGGUCAUGUGUCUCAUGUAUAUAAUGUUUAUCUGAAAUAUUGAUGUACUAAUUGUUAUAUGAUUAUUUUUUGGUAAAGAUCCAACAAAUUAUAUAGCUUAAUAAUGUGAUUUUAAGUUGGUCCUUUUUCUCCAAAUUCACAUAUAUUCAAUUUGCAAUUCUACCUAAUAGAUAUUCAUAAAGUUUGUUGAAUUAGAUUAAACUGAAGUUAAGAAAUAAAAAUGAUCUAUUUAAUUCAAACCAAGAAAGACCAAUAAUCAAGAAGUUUUUAGAACCUAAUUAUAUUUUCAUGAUUAAUAAUGGAUCAAAAAAUUUCAUUAGUGAUUUCUGACGGUAAUGUUGAGAAUUAAAUUAUCAAAAAAUAGUAAUAAAUUUGGAAUAAUUUUAGUAAGAAGAUAAAUAGAAUUCUACUUGUCUUUGAUAUUUUUUUUAUGAAGUACAAUCAUAAGGAAAUAACUACCAAUUAUCAAAGUUAGUGUGGUUAAUUACCUUUAAAAUGACUUGAUGAUGUAACAAAGUUAGUACACUGACAGUGCAUAGAAGUUAAACUCUAAUUUAAAUGUGUAAAAAGAAAAAUUUUAAUCUCAACACUUGUUUUCCCUGGAAAAAAAGAAAAAGGCCUGUUUUCACCAUGUAAUCAGGAUUAUUUUUAAAAAAUUAUUGAUUACUCCAACAUAUUGAAAGGGUAAAACUUCAUUCUUUUUGGCUACCAAAGUAUGAAUAUGUUCGCCCAACAAAUAGAUCACCAACUAUAGGUCUCAAAGAUAUCUGACACUGUUGAUGUUUACAAAUGAAAAAACAUAAAAUAAAAGAAUAGGAAAAGAGACAUAUCUUAUUAAGGUGAAAAAAGAGUGGUUUAAAUACAUAAAAUCUUAAUAAAUCUGCAGUAACUCAAAAACAGAAUUUCCUAUAAUUAGGAACUAAGUCUACCUAUAGCAACAAUUGAAAACUAAUAUAAAAAAUAUCUGUCUUCUGAAAACAAAAGGCACAUCAACAGUUAUGUCGUCAUGCCAACCCAAUAUCAAUUAAUAGCUCAUGAGGCAAAUUUCAACACUCCUUGCAUCAAGAGCUGCGAACUCUAAGUUUGUUUCUCAAGAACUCAAAUUUGCUUGUUGAAAGAGCUUUUGUAAAAAUAUCAACCAGCUGCUCUUGUGUUCUGCAAUAUACCAAAUUCAUUAGACCAUUCUUUUGCACUUCUCUAAGAAAAUAUAGCUUUACAUGAAGUUCUUGGCUUUCUAGAAAUACUGGAUUAUGAAAAAUAACAAUGACAGCUUGAUUGUCCACAAAUAUCUCAGUGUUUUCCUUCAUCUCCAAACCAAGAUGGCAAAAGAUUUUCUUUAUCCAUAAAGCUUGGUUGACUGUAGUUGUCACAACUGUGAAUUCUUCCUCUGCACUUGAUUGAGCAACAAUCUUUUUUUUGAACACCAAGAAAAACAUCCAGCGCCAAAAUAAAACAGUAUCCUGAAGUACUUUUCAUAUGUUCAGCAGAACCACCCCAAUCACUGUCAAAAAAUCCUUGAUGUUUGAAAUUUUGACACUUGCAAAAUUUGAACCCAUAAUCCAUUGUACCUUUGGCAUAUCUAAGCACUCUUUUUGCAGCUUUCAUAUGCAAUUAACUUGGAGAAUUCUAAAAAUGGGAUAGUACACUUACAACAUAUAAUAUAUCUGGCCUUGUUGCUGUAAGAUACGUUAAACUUUUGUAACUUUCUUUUCGUACUCGUUCAACACCAUCAUCCUUCAUUAGAUUCUCUCUUUGAUUCAUAGGCGUGCUCAUACUUUUGCAUUUUCUAUUCUAAAUCUCUUUAGAAUCUCCUUCAUAUAUUUCUUUUGACAAACAAAGACUUCAUUCUGAGUUUGCUUAAUCUCCAUUCCCAGAAAAUAAGUCAUCUCUCCAAGAUCAGUCAUCUCAAAUACUUUCAUCAUUUCCUCCUUGAAUUCUUCAAUCAGCGCUAUAUUAUUUUCUGUCACAAGUAAAUCAUCAACAUAUAGAGACAUAAUAAUAAUGAUACUAGAGCCAACUUUCUUAACAUAAAAAGUCGGUUUACUUAAGCUUCUUUUGAAGCCCAAGUCUAGCAAAUGGUUAUCCAUGCGGCUAUACCAAGCUUUAAGAGUUUGUUUUAACCCUUAUAGAGCUUUCUUUAAUAGAUAGAUCAUAUCUUUAUGUCUCGGUACACUAAAUUCUUUUGACUGCUCAACAUAUUUUCCUCCUGCAAUAGACCAUUCAAGAAAAUAGAUUUCAUAUUCAUUUGAAAAAUAUUACAACUUUUCUAUGUCAUUAUAGCUAAAAGCACUCGAAUAUAUCCAACCUAAUUACUGGAGAAAAAGUAUCAGAAAAAUAUACUCCCAAACUUAUGCAUAGCCUUUCACCACCAAUUUUGCUAUGUUAUUGUUUAUUGAGCUGCCUGGAUUGAGCUUUUUUUGUAAAAUUUAUUUAACUUCUAUCACUUUUCUAUCUAGUGGUCUUUUCAUUAGCUUUCAAGUUUGAUUAUUUUCUAUCAUAUCCAGCUCCUACUUCAUUUCAUCUGUUCAUUUUUGAUCAAUUUUUAUUUCCUCGUAUUCUGCAGGUUCAAAAAUAAUAAUAUUGCAUCUCUAAUGAAUAUCAGAGUGACCUCAUUCCCCUAAUAGAUUGAUCAUCCACCAAUUCAUCAUAAUCAAGCUUUGAAUUGUUCUUCGAAACUCAAAACUUAUCAUUCCUAUCCCAUUGAUCAUAUUUUACGAAUUGAACGUCUCUAUUUAUCAUAAUUUUUCCCGAUUGAGGUUGAAAGAACUAGUAAGCUUUAGACAAUAAGCUAUAGCCAAUGAAGAUUCGUAAAUCUAUUUUUUUAUUUAACUUGUCUCUCCUAACCUUUAGAGAGUAAGAAAAACAUAGAUAUCUAAAUAUUUUGAGGUUUUUAAAAUCAGGUUUGAAACCAUAUCAUGCCUUGACCAGAGUCUUUCCUUUCACUGUUCAUGUAGACAGUCUAUUCAGCAAGAGAGUAGUUGUGUUUGUUGUUUUUGCCUAAAACUUUUCAUUAGAUUUUUCUUAUGAAACAGGCAUCUUGACAUCGCCAUGAUUGUUCUAUUAUUACUCCUACUAACUCUAUUUUACUGUGGGAAGUAAAGGACAGUGAGAUGGUGCUCUAUUUCAGCUUCUUCACAAAAAACAUGUAAUCUAUCAGAUGUAUAUUCAGUUCCAUUAUCUGAUCUAAUAACCUAAAUCUUACAGACCUUCUGAUUAUUCUCUAUCCAAGCUUUGAACUUCCUUAAAAUUUCAACAACUUCGUACUUAAACAUCAUAAAAUAAAUCCAACACAUUUUUGUUAGAUCGUCAAUGAAAAUAAUAAGCGACAGAGUUCUUUGUGGAUCACAGAGAUCGAUAUGAAUGCGUUGUACUUCUCUGUAGCUCUACAUAUGGAACUUUUAAAUGAAAGUCUAGUCUGCUUGCCAAGCAAACAAGCCUUAUAUCUUGAGAUAUACUCCUUCAAGUUUGGUAAAUCAUUUACCAUUUUGCUUCUUUUGCAUAAACAACAACACUUUGUGAUGAUAAUCCCCAACCUUUUAUGCCAUGUUUCUACAACUACGGACUGACUUGAAAAAGCUAUGUGUUCCUCAUCUAAUGAAUUCACAAGAAACCUUUUUCCCUGCAUUUUAAUUCUGAACAUUUCUUGACCACUAGGAUCACUGAUAGACAUGCCUUGUCAUCUAAUAAUAAUUUGAAUUUAUUUUUCAGCAGUUAUUCAAUACUUAAUAAAUUUUGAUCAAGCUUAGGAACAAACAACACAUCAUAAAUAAGUUUUGUGCCUUUAUAAUUCUUAAUUGUUAUAGUCCUCGUUCUUGUUGCGGAGAGGUGUUCUCCAUUUUUUAUCCUGAUUCUUGAUUUAACUGAUCUAUAAAGCUCUCUAAAAAGCUUUUCAUUACUGGUCAUGUGGUUCGUACAUCCACUACAAAUAAGUCAACUUUUACUUAUAUAAGUUUGCAUAACAAGUAGCCACAAAUAAUGAUUCUUCUCAUUCUUGGUCUGCAAUUUGUAUAUCAUUUCGUUGUAGUAAAUCCUUCUCUUUGUAGAUAAUCUUGGCAUGACCAAGUUAUUGACACUUUCGGUAUUUCAUGUUAGGCUUUCUCCAACACUUAAACUGUGAAUGAUUUAUUCUCCCACAAUAUUAACAAGAAGGAUACUUGCCUUCUUUGUUAUUACCGGUGGCAGUAUUCUUAUUUCUUGCAGAUGUAGCUUUGUAAUUUCCUUUCUUUCCUUUUCCUUUAUUCCCCCUAGCAGCACUUGAACCAAGCUGUAACUUGGCUUGUAGGGCUCCCUAAAUGGAUCCUUCUUGCCUCACCAUCCUUCGUUGUUCUUGUGCCUACAGAGCACUCAAUAACUCUGUCAAUCUAACCUUUGACAGAUCUUUAGUAAUGUGGCAAUACUUUCCUCAUAUCUUUCAGUUAAGGUUUUAAGUAUCUUUUGGAUUAUUUUAUUGCCAUUAAGUUCAAUUUUAAGUAUCCUUACAUAAUUUGCAAUCACAAGCAACCUAUCAGAAUAAUCCUUAAUGAUUUCAGAUUCCUUCAUUUGCUAUAUCACAAAUUCUCUAACCAAGUUCAGUAUUUCCAUUCCUCUGAUUCUUUCAUCUCCCCCGUACUCUUUCUUGACGAAUUUUUAAAUUUCUUUGGCUGAAUUAUAUGUCAUUUUUCUACUGAAAAUGGUGGCAGAAACUGCAAUGAAGAGAUAGGAUUUAAUUUUGGACUUUGUCUUUCUUUCCUUAUGGGUUUCAAUCUGAGCCAUAGUUGGACUCCCUGGUAGAGUAAGCACUUCGUAGUCUUCGUCGACAACCUUUCAUAAAUUGCAGAACUCUAAAUAAUCUUGCAUUUUCACUGCCAUGGCUUGGUAGUUUUCUCCAUCGAAAACUAAUGGAGCUAUGGCAGAAAAAGAACUUGCAUUCUUCAUUUUUUGAAUGGUGUUUUGUAGCCACAGUUUUGGAUAAACACUUAGAAAAAAAAUCUCAUAAGUCCUGUAAGAAGUGAGACUCUGAUACCAAUUUGUAGAUAUUUACAAAUGAAAACAUACACUAAAAGAAGAAAAAAAGAGAGAUAUCUUAUUAAGGUGAAAAAAGAGUUGUUUAAAAACAGAAAAUCCUAACAAAUCUACAGUAACUAAUGUAGUAAUUCAAAAACAGAACUUCCUAAUAACUAGAAACUAAGUCUACCAACAGCUACAUGCCUAAAGACUAGAAAACUCACAACUAAUAAACUAAUACAAUACAGGAAAUAACUUUGUUCUAAAAAUAAAAAUACACAUCAACAAUCAUGUCAUCAUGCCAACCCAACAUCAAUUAAGAGCUCAUGAGGCAGAUUUCAGCAUGUAUUGUUUCUAACAAUCCCCUAUCUUGGUUUUUUUAGGUCAGGUACUUGCAAUUCCUAUGAAAUAUUCAUGAUAAUUUAUUGGUCGAACGCACAAUUCAUCUUAUAUUUAAUUUUCCUUUAAAUUAUAGGUACACUCCGGAUAUUUAAAACUUAGCCACUUAUUAAAAUACUAUACAAACUUGUUAUAAUUUGUAACAUCUCAAUUAUAUUACCGGGCUAAUCGUUUGUUCAUAAAUUCCUUGAUUGGAUUUGUUUUUUUGUCCGAAAUGAAGCAAUGGCAAUUGGCGGGGAUCUUGAAGAGAGUGAUAAAUGGUAGUACUAGUGGAGGGACCUGACCAAUUAUAAGAUUUAACAAAAUGUUUCGAGAAAAUUUCAUCCAUAGACAUUUAAUUGUGCGUCUAUUAUACAAGAAUAAUUUUUUUUUUAAUCACACCAAAGUCAUUUUACUUAAAUGAUAUGGUAACUGUUAAUUAAUACAUUUACUUAAUCAAGUACAGUUAAUAUACUGAACUAACAUUUUAUACAAAGUUUAAAUAACUAUUUAAGUUUAUAUAAAACAUUAAUUUUUAUAAAUAUCACAAAUACUUAUAUAAUUUUUCAUGAAAAUUUUAAUUAUUCUGAAUAUGCUAAUUUACUUUACACCUUAAGUUCAUGCAUUAAAAGAAAGUCGUGAGUCAAAACUUAUUAUUCAAAAAAAAAAAACUAUGAUAUUUACCUAUAUAUAUUUUUUUUAUCUUUUUUAUUAACUUUAUUCACUUGAUUAAAUUAAACUCAUAAAUAACUUCAAGAUAUUUACUUCACAAUUCAUGAAAAUUAUACCCACCAUAGUAAUAGAUUAAUAAUCGAUUAUAACUUGAAAAAUGAUGAAAUAAUUUUUUCUAUUUGUAGGGAACAAAGUAAGAAAGGAAAAUACUAUUAUUUUCUUAAAAUAAAAAGUUUCGAACCAAAGUGAUAUAAGCCAAAUUGCUGGAUAUCAAUUAUAUUUAAUUUUAAUAAUUAAAAAAUUAAAUAAAUUGAUUUGAUUUUAAUGUUAAUCAAGAAAAUACCCAAAUGAAAUAUGAACUAAUAAAAAUAUUGCAUGUGAGUUUUAAUAUUAAUUAAUUUAAACAAUUAUAUAAUAUAAUACAUUGCUAAAUUAAUAAAAUUAAUCAUUUUUGCUAAAUAUUCUAAUUAUUUGUAUAAUUUUUUUUGUAUAUUGAACUAUGUAAUACUUAUAAUUAUCUUUUAGAACAUAAUUUUUCUUCAAAAGAGUUACUUGGGGUUUUGGGCUGUAGGUGAUAAAAGAGUUUUAAAAUGAGCUGUAGGUGACACAAGUCUUAAUAAUUGAGUGAAUGUACAAUUACUUUAUUAUAGAUUAAGAAAGUUGGAAAAAUUUUAAAAUAACCCACAAGUUUUUAAAUUUACACUUUGAUAUAAAUGUUAGUUUAUAUAACGAAAAAUAGAGGAAAAAAGGUGUGUUUCUCUCUCUUCUCAUCCGUUGUUGUCUUCUCUCUUUUCGCGAUUUUUGUUGUUCAUUGCUGCUGCUGCUUUAUUCAUCAUCUUCUGCUUCAUUAUCAUCUUCUUAUACUUCAUUAUCCCCUUCAUAUUCUUCUUGUUGACCAUUGUUGCUGUUGUUGUUACCGCAACUGUUGCUCUUUGACCAAUUUCUUAGGUCAAAUUUUGUUUCGUACAUCACUUUCAACUUCGACAUUUACUUGAUAGGAGACUUUGGUAAGUCAAAUUAUACUUUUUAGUUGAAUUUGUCAUCUAGGUAACUGCUAGUGUGCUUUUUUUUUUUUCCAACAAUAACUAGCACGUGAACAUGAAUGCAACAUAAGAGCCAUCUGCUUAAACAAAUUCAUAAUCUGUUGCACCAAAUAGAUAUUCUGUUGCAAUAUAAGACUCAUAUGUUGGAUUCAUAUUUAUGGUUCUAUAGUGCCCGUAACAUGAAUUGAACAGAUGGGUAAUCUGUUGCACCAUAUUAGUAAUCUAUUCUAACAAAUAAUUAAUCUGUUGCACCAGAUUAGUAAUCUGUUCCAACAAAUAAUUAAUCUGUUGCACAAGAAUAUUUAUCUAUUGCAACAUAUUAUAAUUCUGUUGCAACAGAUGAAUAAUUUGUUUCAAACAACACAAUAUAGCUCCUGUCACAAACCCAACAGAUAACCUAUAUGUUGAUCUCUUGCUAUUGAUACUGGAUUCAAAUUAUUCCUUAAUCAUAGACAUGUUUGUUGAGAAGAAGAAAUAUACAGAAUAAAAAUUAAAUAUGAACUAAAACCUGAAAGUGGAUGAAACAUAAAUUUUUUUACUAAACAAAAAAAUAAAAAUACAUAGGUAAAAGAAAUAUUUCAUAUGUUGGAUUCAUGAUUAUAGUUCUAUAGUGCCCGUAAUAUGAAUCGAACAAAUGAGCAUUCUGUGACAUAUUAGUAAUCUGUUCUAACAGAUAAUUAAUCUGUUGCAAAAAAAUAUUUAUCUAUUACAACAUGUUAUAAUUUCAUUACAACAGAUGAAUAAUCUGUUUCAAACAACACAAUAUAGCUCCUGUCACAAACCCAACAAAUAAUCCUUAUGUUGAUCUUUUGCUACUGAUACUGAGAUUCAAAUUAUUCCUUAAUGGUAGACAUGUUUGUUGAGAAAAAGAAAUAGACAAUAUAAAAAUUAAAACGUCAAAGUGGAUGAAACAUAAAUUUUUUAUUAAACAAAAUAAAUAUAAAUAAAUUUAUACAUAGGAAAAAAAUCUAAUUAUUAUUAUUAUUAUUAUUAUCAUCAUUGUUAUUAUUAUUAUUAUUGCCAGCCAGCCAACCAAUCUUCAACCAGAAGCAGCAACGCCAUCCUCAUCCUGCGGAUCUCCCAUAACACCCUUACUCUGACAGCGGUCAACUCCCACUGUAUAUCAUGAACCUACCUCUGCAGUUCUCUACGGUAUCUCGUAAAAUAAUGACAUCCCACACUGGAUCAGCCAUAUCUAAAACACGUAUAAAUUGACAAAAAACACAAAAAUAAAAGGAAAGAAAAGAAUUCGAAAGCAAUACAACAUAGAUUUACACAAAAAAUAAGAAUUUUUUUUAUUAGAGAGUGGGAAAAGCUACCAAGUCCUUGAAGAGAAAGUAGUUGAAGGUGUAAUAUGAAAGACAAGAUCAAGAAAUAAAUAGAUAUGUGUAGUAGAAUGAACGAGUAAGGAGAGACCUAUUUAUAGAGGAUAGAGUUUGAAUGAGUUAGGCAAAAAAAGGCGCGACUGUUCAGGUCCAUUUAUUAAUUAUAUUCAAACUGGUGACUUUUUAAUUACUGUGGAAAGUUAUGACUUAAUUAGUUCUUUUCGGUAACCGCUUUUAUUGAGUUGUGGGAACAGAUUAUAUAUCUAUUGCAUUAGAUAACCCAUCUAUGACAACAAAUAUACUAUUUGUUGUAACAAAUCUUCAAUUUGCUACAUUAGAUAAUAUAUCUGUUGCAAUAUAUAUCUUUUUAAUAAUCAUCAUAUCUUUAUCUUUAAUCCAAAUUUGGUGACUUUUUUAUUAUAUAAAUUAAAAAAAUAGAUUCAAAAACAAAAGGGGUGACUGUUCACCUUUAUUUAUUAAUUACAUUCAAACUGAUGAUUUUUUUUAUUACUGUGGAAAGUUAUAACUUGAUAAGUUCUUUUCAAUAACUGUUUUUAUUAAGUUUUGGCAACAAAUUAUAUAUCUGUUGCAUCAGAUAAUCCACCUGUGACAACAGAUAUGCCAUUUGUUGCAACAAAUUUAUAAUCUAUUGCAUCAGAUAAUAUAUCUGUUGCAAUAUAUAUCUUUUUAAUAAUCAACAUAUCUUUAUAUUUAAUCAAAAUUUGGUGACUUUUUUAUUAUAUAAAUUAAAAAAAUAGAUUCAAAAAUAAAAAGGCACGACUGUUCACCUCUAUUUAUUAAUUACAUUCAAACUGAUGACUUUUUGAUUACUGUGGAAAGUCAUGACUUGAUAAGUUCUUUUCAGUAAUCAUUUUUAUUGAGUUGUGGCAACAAAUUAUAUAUCUAUUGCAUCAGAUAACCAUCUGUGACAACAGAUACACCAUUUGUUGCAACAAAUCGACAAUCUAUUGCAUCAGAUAAUAUAUUUGUUUCACAUAUAAGCUAUCUUUUUUAAUAAUCAAUAUAUCUUUAAUCCAAAUUUGGUGACUUUUUUAUUAUAUAAAUUAAAAAAAUAGAUUUAAAAAUAAAUAUGUCGAAGAGUCACGAUCAGUUAUUAAAAUUAAAUAAUUGUUCUUUUACGGUUAUAAAUUGUGUUUAUCAUUUAUUUUUUUAUUUUACGAACCAUUUUUCAUAUGUAAAAGGUCAUGACUAAAGACUUUUCACCCUCUCAAUAAUAAUAAUAUAACCCUUUUUUAUUAAUAAUCGCUUGUUGCAACAUAUGAUCCAUCUGUUUAGGUAGAUUCGAUAUAAAAAAGGAAAAUACAUACGCUAGAAGGAAAUGUACAUAACCUAUUUAUUAUUACUACUAUUAUUAUUAUCAUUAUUAUUAUUAUAAGUAUUACUAUUACUAUUUUCAUUUUCUGAAGAACAAUUUUCAUCCAGCAGCAGCAGGACCCUCCUCUGCCUUGGUCUGAAUUCAACCAAAUCCCUCUGGAGUUCAUUAUACUGCCUUCGAAGUUUUUGGAAGGACUCAAUAUAAAUAUUUUUGUAAAAAUCUGGAUCAGUCAUAUCUGAAAGUGUAGUAGUAGAAUGAACGAGUAAGGAAGGGGUUAGUCAAAAAGCCACGACUGUUCAUCCCUUAAUUAAAUAAAACUGGCGACUUUUCAAAUAUGUAAAUUAAAAAAAUGGAUCUAAAUAAAUAUUGUAAAAUCUUUAUUGUAUUUCGGAAAGAAAAUAAAAUUGGUUUAAAAUAAAUCUAACAGAUGCAUAAUCUGUUGCAAAAUACAUUCUAUCUGUUGGAUAAUUUACAAAAUAUUGAAACUGUUACAACAGAUGUAUAUACUUGUUUGAUAUUUCCAACAGAUAAGUCCUAUGUCGCACCAGAUUGAUCAUAUGUCAUAACAGAUGUCUAUAAUUGUUUGACAAUUUAAAUAGAUGUGGCAUCUAUUGCAACUUGUUAGUUAUCUAUUUAUCAAUUUAAGCCAUAGAUGGGCAAAGAAGAAUGAGGUAUGUGCAGAUGGAUGGAUCCCCUUUCAUGUGUGGGAGUUAAGUAUUGCUGAUGAGGUCAUCGGGACAACACACACAUAGUACAAUGUUUUUGUGAAUGUAGUUUUUAACUGAUUAGGUACUAAUCAUUCAAAUAAGAUCCUACAUUGUACAGUUAAGUUUGAUGGGUUCGAAUUGAUAAGGCCGAGGGCCCCAUGAUGAUGGUGCCGAUACCCUGUUACGAAUA